RNAcentral lists this ribosomal RNA (189 nucleotides) under uncultured Capnocytophaga sp. RNAcentral's name for it is "partial 16S ribosomal RNA". It matches the Rfam family "Bacterial small subunit ribosomal RNA", at positions 338 to 524 of the family's 1533-position model. The record is from RNAcentral. Lineage: Bacteria; Pseudomonadati; Bacteroidota; Flavobacteriia; Flavobacteriales; Flavobacteriaceae.
CCUACGGGAGGCAGCAGUGAGGAAUAUUGGACAAUGGUCGGAAGACUGAUCCAGCCAUGCCGCGUGCAGGAUGACGGCCUUAUGGGUUGUAAACUGCUUUUGUAAGGGAAGAAUAAGGACUACGUGUAGUUUGAUGACGGUACCUUAUGAAUAAGCAUCGGCUAACUCCGUGCCAGCAGCCGCGGUAAU